Non-coding RNA from Delphinapterus leucas (beluga whale), 2154 nucleotides. The record is from RefSeq and is a predicted model, not a curated record. NCBI's taxonomy places the organism in Eukaryota, Metazoa, Chordata, Mammalia, Artiodactyla, Monodontidae.
GGGCUCCCCAUCCUGAGCCGGGGCGUGUCCCUGAGGAGCGGCGUUCGGAAGUUUGCAGAGGGCCAGGGCAGUUUCGGCCAGGCCGGGGGGCCGGGGGCGCGACUCCUCGGGCAAGCGAAAGCCCACCCGCAGCCUGAAGCCUCUGAAGGUCCACUUCGGGGCCCAGGGAGGCAGCAGCCAGGACUGCCGUCCACAAGUGCGUUAGGUACCUUGUCACUGAAGACAGUGCUGGCCGGUGGAGCUCGGAUCUGCGAAGGGUACGUGCUUCAUCUCGAGCGCACAACUCUAGCACUCACUGAGAGAGAAAACAGGAAUUCCUGAGUGUGUCACCUGACCAAGGGGAGCCCUCGGGAGCUCGAGGGAGCCUCUGAGGCCAGUGUACUUCUGAGUAUCCACCAGAGAAGGCCAAGAACACAGCACCAGAAAUGUACAAGGAAAUAAAACACAGGCGGAGAAGGAAGUCCUGGAGAGGCUGGAGAAGAAAAGUAGGUGUUCCUCCUUAGCCAGAUCCUACCCCGAGCUCUGGAGCUCCAGAAUAUUCUGUCCUCUUUAUGGUGGAGGUUGGAGUAGGGAUAUAGUCUUCCCUCCCCACGCACUGGAGCAUCUGAGGCCACUGCAUCUGGCCCUGUUUGUCCUGGAGCACGUGGGCAAAGUGGUGCCAGCCCACAGCCAGCUGCUGCCCUGGACCCAUCAGCUGUGCCAGGUGGAGCGUGGACAGCAAGCGCCUCCAGAGUCCUGCGAAGUGCAUACAAUCUUGCAUUCUUGAUCCAAGAUUUUGUCCCACAGAAGGGGCCUGUAAUGCUUUUGAACCCCACCUGUCUGGAGUAGAGGGGCACCCACUGGUCCAGAACCAUCGCUCAAGCAGAAGGAGGGAGCUCAUGCCGGCUGCUGCACGUUACCUGGCUUCCUGUGUUACAGACAAAAGAAGCCGGCCAAACUGUGCAGUCUGAAACAUGAGACCCAGAACUAGCACAUCCUAGUUCCCGGAACCUGUGAACAUUACCUUCUGUGAAAAGAAAGAAAUUGCAGAUGUGAUUACGUUAAGGACCUUGCGAUGCAGAGAUUAUCCUGCAUUACCCAGGUGGGCCCUAAAUGCCAUCACGUGUAUCUUUAUGAGAGAGGCAGAAGGAGACUUGAGACACACAGAGGCCAUGAGAUGACGGAGCAGAGAGGUUUGAAGAUGCGGCCUUGAAGGUUGGAGUAAUGCAACGCAGGAAUGCUGGCAGCCACCAGCAGCUGGCAGAGGCGGGGAGCGAAUCCUCCCAGGAGCCUCUGGAAGGAGCAGAGCCCUGCCAACGCCUUGAUUUUGACCCAGUUAAACUGAUUUCAGAUUUUUGGCUUCCAGAACUGUGAGAGAAUAAAUCUCUGCAGUUUUAUGCCACCCAGCUUGUGGCAAUUUGUCACAGCAAACCACUGGAAACUAAUAUAGAAUCCAUAAAGCGAAGGAAAAACACUUUCUCAGAAAAACGUGGCACCAAGGAAUUUAUUGCCAGCAGACCAAUCCUAGCACGGGCUCUAGGCACACGGGCUUAGUAGUUGUGGCGCACGGGCUUAGCUGCUCCGUGGCAUGUGGGAUCUUCCCGGACCAGGGCUCGAACCCAUGCCCUCUGCAUUGGCAGGCGGAUUCUUAACCACUGCGCCACCAGCGAAAUCCCCAACCCUGGAGGAAAUGUUAAAAUAAGUUAUUUAGUCAGAAGGAAAAUUGGAUCUCCAUAAAGAAAUGAAGACCCUCAGAGAAAGAAUAAAUGAAGCGUGUUGCUUGUGGGAUCUGAAUUCCCCCAACUGGGGACUGAACCUGGGCCUUUGGCAGUGAGAGCUUGGAGUCCUAACCACUGGACCGUCAGGGGAGUCCCAGAGCAUAAAUAUUCUUAAUCUUAAAGUUGACAGCAGACAUGGCAGGGGUCCGGAGAGAUGGCCGAGCCUCCUAGAUGGAUGGUCACAGGUCCCAAGACCGCGGUGCGAACUUGGGCUGUGUGGUGACUGCAGCCACAUUCCAUCCCCACCCCUGCCUCCAGGAUCCCCCAUUAGACGGGUGACAGCCUUGCAAAAACACGACGGGACACAGGGGAAGGGCGAGUGCUGGGGGCUGGUGAGGCUGGGGAGCCGGUGUCUCCUGGAUGCAGAGCUUGGUGUGGGAAGGUUAGGAAGUCGCGG